RNAcentral lists this small RNA (222 nucleotides) under Arabidopsis thaliana (thale cress). RNAcentral's name for it is "ATSL291750". The record is from RNAcentral. Lineage: Eukaryota; Viridiplantae; Streptophyta; Magnoliopsida; Brassicales; Brassicaceae.
AAAAGUUAUUUUAUCUUAAUUUGUGUGCAAAACUCAAAACAUCAAUCAAACUUCAUGUAACAGAGAGAAUAUCUAAUAUAUACGAUCACACUCGUUAGGUUGGUUCCUUAAUUCUUACGCAUAAUCAAUAAGUGGUCGGACGACGCAUGAGACGUACGAAAUUAAAAUGAAUUUCUAUGUAAAAACCUAGUAAUUCGUUGAAAUGAGUGAGUGAUUUGGUAC